UUCUGCUCAUUACAGGCUUUUUUUUUUUUUUUUUUUUGCUCCAUCCUGCUGGAACUGCUUAAUUUGUCUGAACAGUGAAGCAUUCACCGGAUUAGAGCGCCUGCCAGCAUAAUCUGGUAGUCAGGACAACACCAGGGAGAUGGAAACCCCCGUGCAGGUCUCCCAACCAAGCACAACAAGGCCUCUUGCAUUUCAGGGAAGCAUCGUAGUUCUUUCUGAGACCAAAAACCAUCCCAACCAAGUGCUUCCCACCAUCCCAUUAUUGAGCCUGGCACAUUUCCAUCGAUCAGCCUCACGCAAAGAAACUCCAGUGUAGGGGGACAUUUCUCACUGUCUCUAAUCAAAAUCAGCAGAAAGGAGACAGUGAUUUCAUCCCAUUACAAGUGUGAGUUCAAAGGCACCUUUCACUUUGAGUAUCUGCUAGAAGUAGACGUGGCCAACAUUUGUUAGCAGUUAGACUGUGUUGCUUAUCAGAAAAUAAAACAAAAUAGAUUCAUCCUGUUUUCUUCCCUCACCUAAUACAAAUCUAUUGUUUAUUUUGAUUCAAGAAAAGAAACAGUAGAGGAAAGUUCACUUAAAAGUUCACUGACAUUUUUCGCAGAAAUAUUUUCCACUGGAGGUCAACUCCACAUUUCCAGCAGUAAUUUAAUAACCCGAAUCCAUCGUAUUGAAAAUCCCUCUGGACUCCUAACAAACUAGACAGACAUCCAUAGGUCAUUUUAGAAACACUUUGAAGAUAACUCCAGAAUUCACUCUGCACUAUAGAUCCUUGUUGGACAAAUUGUCCCUGAAUCUAUUUAUAUUUGUUUUGUAUUGUUAUGAGAAAGCAUUGGCUUAUCCAGUUAGAAGGGUCUAGCACUGGUCACACAACUGCGCUGAAGUUUGGCAGAGCACAGCAAUACUGCUUGAGAAAAUGAAGGAAUAGAUAGAAAGGCAUCGAGGAAAGAUUUCUUUACUCCCUUUUUUUUUUUUUUUUUUUAGCAGAACUAUACAUUUUAAAAUCACUCAGAAAGCGAAAGAGAUACUAACAAUGGCUUAUCCUGGUCCCAAUGCUUAUCCUCCCUGAAAUGAUGAUCUAUUCAUUUUUUCAGUGUUUUUUGAAUCCUUCAGCGGGCAUACUUUUGUGGUGGAUUUCCUUCUUUUUUAUUAAAAACAAUAUAAAAGAAACUCGGGUUUUCUCAAAAACCUGAUGUACUCAAACCUAAAACAAAGCCCUGCUCAAGGCUGGAUUUGCCAACCUACGGAUUACACUGAGCAGCAGGCAGGCAGAAGCUGGAGUUGAUCUGUGCAUCAAGCAGCCCUGUGCCAUGGAAUGCUUCUUGCUGUGUUGGCCAGGCAGAGCAUCCCAGGUCACUGAGCCACAAAGGACAGCACAAAGUCCAGCUCCAGCCUUGUACUCUGUGACAUGGAAAGAGCAUGAGUGAGGAAAACCCUAAUCUAACCCAUUUUGUUUUUCAAUCAGAGGAUUCAGGCAGGAGUCAAGCACGGGCCAAAAAGGAGAGGAGCAGUUUUCCUCCUCCGUCAUACUGCACCAUUAGUAAGAGUCACAGUUAAUAUUCCUUGUCUGCUCCUGGAGCAGCACACACAUCUCAUAUAUUUUUUCCUAGACCAGAAGAGACCCUAUAAAACAAGCAUUUCCUCUAAAAAACAGCUCCUUGCAUGGCUCCGGAUAAUACGCAGCUGAUGUGAGAUGAUCUGGCUACAGAGCUUGGCUGGAAUAACACUAACAAACCCAGAGUCCAGGCAUCCUCCGGCUGCCCUAGGAAAGCUGUCAGCAGCCAGAGGAAAAUCUGGCAUCUUCAGCUGCUGCCUGACGGGUGUGCGGUGGUCUGUCCAUCCAUCUGCCCAUCUGUCCAUCCAUCCACACAUCCAUCGGUCCCUGCCCGGUGAGGAGAUUCACGCAGGUUGCAUCACGGUGUCUCUGCUCAGCAGGCAAGGACACGUUGGGUUUCUCCAGAGGAAAAACUGGAAGUGUUUAUGUCCCUGGACAGUGUCUGGAAGCACGUGGUGUUUCUGCAGGCUCUGAGGGCCCGGCCUCACAGAAUACUUAGGCACAUGUGUAACUAGAAGUGACGUCCAACAGAGUGCUGCAGACACAGGCGCUUCCAGUUCCAGCAGGAUCCAAGCAGUUUCCAGGAUCCCAACUUUCCAAGAGGUUUAAAUUUGUUAGGUUUUUUGUUUGGUUGGUUGGUUUGUUUUGUUUCGUCCAAGACUCCUUUCUGUCUGCCCGUGCAGCAGCUGGAUUGGACUCCCUGUGGGGCAUGGCAGGUCCUACCCCUCAUGAGGAAAUACAUCCACAAAACAAGGUGAGAGACUUUGCACUGCUGAACACUGCCCAGUUAUUAAUGUGAAAACCAGAAUUAAUUCCAGUCCAAAAAGCUGGGAGGAAAGCAACAACGAUGAUGGGUACCAUCUCAUACCACAGCUAUUUUACAGCAAUUCCACUUUAUGUUCCUUGGCCAGCAGAGCUCCUUGAAUAAUGACAUAGCCAGAUGACACACAAGCAGAAAAGCCUCAAAUGUGUAUAAAUACCAGUUUUCCAGUUCUGAAAGAAAUUUAAUCAUGCAGACUUUCUACCAUAUUUGAGAGAGCCAAAAAGCAGUGAUAGCCCUGAGCUCAUCUUUCUGGUGUUUUCUCCAGCACCAGAGGAAACCAGAACUGUUGUGUUGUGGGGAACCUGACCAUGGAGCACAGCUCCUGAAGACCCAGGGGGAAAACCCCUUAUGAAGACCUGAGGGAAAACCUCUUUAUAAAGGAGAAAUCAAUUACAGUCCUGAUACAAGCAAUAUUGUUUCACCUAACAGUAUCCAGUAUGCACUGCAUUGCAAAUGCUGUCUGGUAAUCAUCUUAUUCGAAGACACAGUGUUUCGCAGCAUAUAAACCAUUUAAUUGCAAUACUGACUCACAUUUGAGCUGCAAAGCUAGGCAUGUUUUCUGAAUGUGCCAAAUAGGCAAAACACCAGCCAGCCUUGGUAUGUAGUUAGAAGAACAUGCUUACACCACACGCUGAAGGAAACAUGAAAGCUGAACUAUUUUUUUUUGCGUGUGCCCUAACAUUUUCUCAUUUAAUGAAUAUUAAAAUGACAGUGUGUGUGAAAAACCCUCAGUGAUUCAUCCAUAGAGUGAAAUUACCAACCACGUGAGAAGAAAUCUGGAAGAGCACCACAGCACGCCUUUGCUCACCUGUAUUUCCUUCUCCUGUUUUAAAAUGCAGACGAUGCCCAAAUAAAUGACAAAUUGAAGCAGACAAGUAUUAAAGUGAAACCAUGGAAGAUCUCCCAUUUCGUUUUGAAUGUCAUCAUAAGAGGAGCUGCAUAGAAACAGUUUGUGAUCUGCACUGACUUAAACUUUGUGCAAGUGGUUUCCAUGCAGAUUAAUGGUCAACACAAAGUUUCUGGGAACCCCACUUCUCACCCACAGCAUUAAUCAUCAUCGGCAAAAUUUUUUAAACUGAACACAUUAAAACUUUCCUUGAUGGAUUUGCAUUUUUGUUCAUGUAGGACAACAUUCACCGUAUUCAUUCAACUAUAUCACAUCUGAUAAACAUACCUUUCCAUCAUACCUUCUGGGCCCUCCUUAAGAAACUACUGAAUCAAUGCCCAGACCUGUGAGUCAUAAAGUACUCCAAGAAAGCUGGUGGGGAAAGGACAGUAGGAAAAGAAUUUACAGCAGCUGAAGCUUGUGGCAGAUCAGUGACUGCAUUACUGUGGUGUGACAUAAACAGAAAAGGUAUUUCCAGUCUUGGAUUUUAUGGCAAAGGAUGGGAGAUUUGACUUAUGAAGGGAGAAUACAAGGGUAAAGCCCCCAGUUACGUACAAUUGCAAGAGCAUAAAUAAUGAGCUGAGGUUAGAAAUGCACAUGGGGAUCCAAACUUCCAAUGAGUUGCUUUAAAAAGUGCAGUUUGCACAUUUGUUGCCAUACAGCCUGGGAUGGCUGGCAGAACAGCAAUGGCUGUCUUCCAGCCCUUCUAGGCAACAAACACAGGGCUUCAGGCAGGUGUGAGCCAGUGGCGGACCUACACCCACUUGCCAGCUGCCUCUGUUUUGAGAGGAUCUGCUCAUAUCAAACAUGAUGUGGUGGUGGUGCUGUUACACAUCUUGGGUUAGCAAAGCCAAUGUGAGGCUUUCCUGCCUCUCCAUCACUCAUUCCUGUCAGAGCAUCUUCAUCUGUUAGCCCAACUGAUGCCUGUUAACCUGGUGCCCCAAAUCCAGACGCACCAGUACAAUCUACAAGUGAAUCCUUGCAAGGCUUCUUAACACAUUGUGACCAGCACCAUAGAAAAGACCUGGCAGGAGCCUUGUGAAGAUAAUAUCCACGCUUCUGGCUGUGAAAAGGUUCACAGAGAAAGACCAAGAUCAAAAUCUCCCCAACUACAUUUCUGCAUAAGGAGGCAGGAGCAUGAGACAGGCCCACAAUAGGGUACGUGGGAUCCCUGCACAAAAACUCAUUGGCCUGAGCCAUUCAGUACUGUGAGGAUCUUCACUGCUGGGAUCUGGUCUGAAGCCUGCCUCUAGGCUUCAGGCUGUCAGAUUCCACUUAAAAAAUGUGUUUGAUUCUCACUUUGUAGAUGUAGCAUCUGUCCCGCUUGUUCUACUGGGAGGAGGGAGGGAGUUGUGUAAUUAAGUGCAAAUAGGGUUCUCAUGAUGCAAUACAGACUCAUAUAAUACUUCCCAGGUGCCACUGUCUCAAGCAACUUGGCAGGAGUUUCCCAGUUGUGAGGCUCGGCUUAAGAAUAGCAGCAAACUUGUGUGGUCCUGCAGAAGCACUCCUUACGUGCGUUGCUCCGAUACUGCACUUGGGAACAGCUGUGCAAGUCCUUGUGUAUGGCCAGGAUGGUGCUCGGAGGGGAAUUUUGGGUUACUUCUUGUGCUUUCCUGUCCCCCUCUUCCCUUACAGCCAGCCUUCACUGAAAAACCAAAUUCUGUAAGUUUAUCAUAGGGUGAUGGUGGUGUCAAGCUGCUGCAAGCAGCUGGUUGGUGUGGUGUUCAAAAAACAGCCUAAGACUUAAAAAAAAACCCCAACAAUACAACAAUAAAAAAGAAAAAAAAACCACCCAACAACAGUAGAAAAAAAACAGUGCAACAACUUUAUAUAAGUAAUCCUUGCAGGAAGCAAAGCGUGGAGAAGUACAGUGAGUUGCAUCCAAAUACAGGAUGGCGAUUUAGGAGAGCUGACUGGUUUGCCAGUUGCAGUCAUGCAAGAAAAUGGGGAGUGAACUGGCACCAGUGCUAUGAGAUGAGGGUUAUGACUUCUGAGCCUUCAGAGACUCUGCAGGCCACGCUGUGAUUUCCAUCCUCCUCAGCACUGCCAUUUCCUCUCUACCAUGACCAUGCUAGUUGGGAUAGCCUUAUUUUCCUAGCAAAUUCUCUGCUGACAGAUUUCAGCUGCUUACCACAAUCUUUGCCUUUUGGCUGGAUCCUGGAAGUGUUUAUACUUUUGGCAAUAGAAGUAGAGAUAGGUGCUAUUUCAUUUAUUUAUUUUAAUAAGUAAAAGUACGAGCCAAUAUCUUUUCUUCAAAAUGAUGGCUCAUCCCAGCCUAUGUUCUCACUGCUGCUGCUCCUGUCUCAGGCAUGGCAGGUGGCACGAUAAAUAGAUAAUACGCUGCACUGUCUGACAUGGAGCUUUAUCAAUCAAAACAAGCCCUGCUUUUUUGCUCAACAGGAAAGUUCAAUCGCUCUCCUCUGGUGGAAUCAGUCAACACAUAAUGCUUUCAGCCCAAGAUAAUGUCAGACUGCAGAUUUGGAUCUGCUCUCUUGCUGCUUCGGGGCUAUUUAUAUCUUUGUGCCUCGAGGGCUUACUAAUUAGCAGCCUUCUUCCACACCCUUUGAUAUCAUUAACGUAAUCUCAGUGUAAGCGACUGCUCUCUGAUGAUAUCUCUGGGGGAGUGGAGAACAGCUGGAACCGUUCUACAUAGCAGAGCUGGAGCACUUCUCCCACAGCAGUGGUUGAAAGACCGCAAUAAUUUUGCUUCUGCAAGCAAAGCCAGCAAAGCACCCUGCCUUGUUCAGAGUGGCUGAGGCUGAUGGGCUAUCACAGAAUCAAUACGGUUGGAAAGGCCAUUAAGAUCAUCUAGAAAGACUAUCAGCCUAUGGUAGAUGUAAUCUCAAGUUGAGCGUAGAACUGGGAGGUACUGAGAAGGUUAGAGUGGGUUUUUCGGGCCAUUGCCAACAUUAUCAGGUAAGUGCCUUUCAACACAAUUCUUCUUCUUCUCUUGCCCUCCCUCACCUGCUUGACUUGUCUUGUUGGUUCUUUUAUAGUCAAAAGGCCCAUAGAGCGUUAGAGGCAAAGUAACAAUGGAACCAGGAGGUGAAAAUCAGGAAUUUGAGACAGCAGCUGAGAGCUCAGUGCUGGAAUUACUCAGCAUUUCCCACACUGUUCAACCCUGUGAGGCCCAGAUUCCCACUUGGGAGAGCUGAGGACAAAUCUAACACUGCUGAAAUCUCAGCUCAGGUAGUUUCUAAUAAUGCAGUGGAUAAGGUUUAUUUAAACCGUAAUUGCUUGCAUUUUUUUUUCCACAUUACUCGCUCUGCUGCCCUAUAAAAUUAGUUAAUUUAAAGGCCUGUCAUUAACUUAGCAACUUGCCCUGCAAAGAACAAAACUGGAGAUGGGAAAAAGUUUUCUCCGUGUUAGAAAUGCACUUCAGACCAGAGCAACAUUGCUGCCUUCCGAUAGCAGCUCCUCCUCACUAAAUGAGACCUUGUAGGAAAACAGGCGGUUUCCAAUAGGUGCUUUGAUAUCUGCCAUUAAUUCCCUGCUCUUGCUUGCAUGGUCUCUUAGCAACUUCCUGCCCUUUGCUCCUUUUUAUUCUUGUUCCUGUUCAAGCACUUCCUUUUGUCGCCAGUCUGUUGCUCCCCUUUAGGCUGCUUUAGAGAAAGAUAAUAAAAUCCUUGUGCAGAUAGAAAGAACCAGCUACAAAUGGCUGUGCGAGUGUAUUUAUGUUUAUAGCACGAAGCAAGAGAACAGGCUGUCCUGGGUUCUGGUUUCCAACUGCAGCGUAAAUCCGUCAGCAAAUAUGUUACAACCCUGGAGAAGGGAGCAGAAACAUAACAGCAGGCACUGCAGGACUCCAGAAGAGUCGUGUUUUACAGGGCUCCAUAUCUCUUAACUCCCCAGAAGUGUGAAAGAUGGAGGCUUUCACCCCAAAUUAAAAGAGCAGCCAUCUUCUGCUCUCUCAUCCUAAAGCAGCUGUUAAUUCAGUAAUGUCAGCCCUCCCAGUCACUCAGGUAGAAGCAUCCAUUUGGUGACUUCCCUUCGCCAGGCUUCAUGCCCGUCCUGUUUAAUGCUCCACGACUCUGUUCCAGGAUGACAAUAAGAUGGGGAGAACUGGCACAGGUGGCUUUGAAGGCUGAGGGAAAAGACGUGGCAAUGCUUUUUAAUUUUUUAUUUCCUUUAAAUGCUUUGUAUGCAGAGCCACGCUAAGUACAAACCCGAUGACAAGCUAAGAGCAUCUUAGAGAGUCUGCCUCAGGAGUACACCCCUGUUCUGGUGGAAGGAGAUGACAGCAACAUGUGCAUAAAAGGCUGGCUGAACUGGAGUCUUAAUGCGAGGUCUCCACAUCUUAAUAGACUUUGAGAUAAAUGGCCUUUUCUUGUCUCCCAUAUGGUUUUGCUUUCCAUCUAACGAGGGAAUCAUAACUCUGGGUGAAGGAAAGGAGCUGUCCGGAGAUGGAGCUGCGAGUGGAGGGAAGAGGAGGUGAAAGAAAAGGAAAAUUUUAAGGGGAAGAGAGACCACGUCUGGAGAAGUCAUUGUGCAGAUGGGGAGUAACAAGAUGAGAAUGAUGCAGGAACUACCCAGCAGCCGAACAGAGCACAGAAUGGCACUGAUACACAUGGCGCAAGGAACUCCAAAGCCAGAAGAUCUGAUGAAGUCUCCAGAUAUCACAUAGCAAACACAGCUGCUGGAUCCUGC
This 7908-nucleotide long non-coding RNA is filed under the name Gallus gallus (chicken). RNAcentral describes it as "lncRNA (ENSGALG00010022501.1)". The record is from RNAcentral. Lineage: Eukaryota; Metazoa; Chordata; Aves; Galliformes; Phasianidae.